RNAcentral lists this ribosomal RNA (406 nucleotides) under uncultured bacterium. RNAcentral's name for it is "partial 16S ribosomal RNA". It matches the Rfam family "Bacterial small subunit ribosomal RNA", at positions 30 to 526 of the family's 1533-position model. The record is from RNAcentral.
AUUGAACGCUGGCGGCAGGCCUAACACAUGCAAGUCGAACGAGUGGCGGACGGAUGAGUAAUGUCUGGGAAACUACGCGAUGGAGGGGGAUAACUACUGGAAACGGUAGCUAAUACCGCAUACUAUCAGAUGAGCCUAGGUGGGAUUAGCUAGUUGGUGGGGUAAAGGCCUACCAAGGCGACGAUCCGUAGCUGGUCUGAGAGGAUGAUCAGUCACACUGGAACUGAGACACGGUCCAGACUCCUACGGGAGGCAGCAGUGGGGAAUAUUGCACAAUGGGCGAAAGCCUGAUGCAGCCAUGCCGCGUGUGUGAAGAAGGCCUUCGGAUUGUAAAGCACUUUAAGCUGGGAGGCGUUACCCACAGAAGAAGCACCGGCUAACUCCGUGCCAGCCGCCGCGGUAAUAC